This 231-nucleotide long non-coding RNA is filed under the name Elaeis guineensis (African oil palm). Its description in RNAcentral is "long non-coding RNA (EGUI_LNC011616)". Lineage: Eukaryota; Viridiplantae; Streptophyta; Magnoliopsida; Arecales; Arecaceae. The record is from RNAcentral.
UAGUCGUCUAGAGUUGUUCAACGGCAGCAGCUUUUUUGGCAUUUGCAACUACGGUUCUGUCCAUCCAUGCUCGACAAAACUUGAUAAUUUUUUGAUACCCACUCUCCAGUGCAUGCAUGUCAUAUGCUAACUGAAAAGAAAAGAAAACAAGUCAAAUCAAGUAAAAAAAAAGAGAGAAGAGCAUCAUCAACUUACGUCAAGUAUCGUCGGAUAAAAGGAUGAAAAUAUCUC